RNAcentral lists this ribosomal RNA (460 nucleotides) under uncultured bacterium. Its description in RNAcentral is "partial 16S ribosomal RNA". It matches the Rfam family "Bacterial small subunit ribosomal RNA", at positions 338 to 795 of the family's 1533-position model. The record is from RNAcentral.
CCUACGGGGUGCAGCAGUGAGGAAUAUUGGUCAAUGGCCGGAAGGCUGAACCAGCCAUGCCGCGUGAAGGUCAGUGCCCUAUGGGCGUUAAACUUCUUUUGUGCGGGAGCAAUAAUGGUCACGUGUGGCCAGACGAGAGUACCGUACGAAUAAGCAUCGGCUAACUCCGUGCCAGCAGCCGCGGUAAUACGGGGGAUGCAAGCGUUAUCCGGAUUUAUUGGGUUUAAAGGGUGCGUAGGCUGUGAGGUAAGUCAGCGGUGAAAUGCCCCCGCUCAACGGGGUGAAGUGCCAUUGAUACGGCCUGGCUGGAAUGCGGAUGCCGUGGGAGGAAUGUGUGGUGUAGCGGUGAAAUGCAUAGAUAUCACACAGAACACCGAUUGCGAAGGCAUCUCACGAAUCCGCGAUUGACGCUGAUGCACGAAAGCGUGGGUAUCAAACAGGAUUAGAUACCCGAGUAGUC